CAAAGGGCAGCUACACAGCGAUGUGAUGCUAAUCUCCAAACCAUGUCUCAGUUCGGAUCGGAGUCUGCAACUCGACUCCGUGAAGCUGGAUUCGCUAGUAAUCGCGCAUCAGCCAUGGCGCGGUGAAUACGUUCCCGGGCCUUGUACACACCGCCCGUCAAGCCAUGGGAGCCGGGGGUACCUGAAGUCCGUAACCGCGAGGAUCGGCCUAGGGUAAAACUGGUGACUGGGGCUAAGUCGUAACAAGGUACC
This 252-nucleotide ribosomal RNA is filed under the name uncultured bacterium. Its description in RNAcentral is "partial 16S ribosomal RNA". It matches the Rfam family "Bacterial small subunit ribosomal RNA", at positions 1240 to 1500 of the family's 1533-position model. The record is from RNAcentral.